RNAcentral lists this non-coding RNA (22 nucleotides) under Arabidopsis thaliana (thale cress). The record is from RNAcentral. Lineage: Eukaryota; Viridiplantae; Streptophyta; Magnoliopsida; Brassicales; Brassicaceae.
UGGAGCCGAAUUUUAGUUGCUU